Molecule: long non-coding RNA, 701 nt
Filed under: Lactuca sativa (garden lettuce)
Lineage: Eukaryota; Viridiplantae; Streptophyta; Magnoliopsida; Asterales; Asteraceae
Description: long non-coding RNA (LSAT_LNC002503)
Source: RNAcentral
UAAAUUGAUAAUUUUACAUUUCCUAACAGUUUAAUUUUAUAUAUAGGAAUAAAACCAAUAAAAUUUCUCAACAAUACAUCCAUCAAUAGAUACCCAAAUUCAACCAAAUACAUUUCUAAAUAAAUUGUACCCUUACAAACUUUUCCCACACUAUUUCUCAAAAACAUAUCUAGAGACAUUGUUUCUAGUUUUUUUUUUUAACCAAAAUAUUUCCAAUACUCACAAACCUUUCCAAAAUAUGAAAUAAAAGCUUUCACUGCCUUCGAUCAUCCCUAUCGAUUUCUGUCAAACAAGCAAACCCAAAAACCCACCUCAAUCAUCCUUCUUUCCUGUUAAGAACCAAAACCAAACACUCCAAUGAUUUCUAUCAAAACAAACUAAAAUCCAUGUCGAUGAUCGAGAUGAUUCUGCUAAUCAAUUAGAUUCUAUAUGUUUAAUUGAAAACAUAUUUUUCUCAAAUUCUAUGCAUCUGUUUAGAUCGAUGUGUUUCUCUCUUCUGGAAAAUACCUUUUUUUUCUUAGUAUAUAGUUAAUUACAGGAUGGCUUACCAACGCAUUGCAUUUCAUUGGAUUGCUUUAGGGUCUAAUGGUCCUGUCUUCACUGCUAACGCUGCUUGCAGUGUCAGGAGCUCACGCCUCGCAGCCGGAAGAGACAAGGAAGACUUCGCUGCUUCUUCACGCUCUCCAUCUCUUCGGACCCCA